GAGGUUAUCACUAUCCUGGGAUGCAGGCUGGAAUGCAGAGUUUGGACAGAAGGACGAUUUUCUGACUCCCAACCGAGAAAUAGACCUACAGGUGGGGAGAAGAAACUUUAAAUUAAACCAAUGAGCAUUUUUUUUUUUUUUUAAUUAACAGUAAUGUUUUUACGAAGGCAAGUGGAAAUGCUUUUGUGCCUUUUUUUCCUUUACUUGAUAGUCUAAAAUAACGUUGUCUGGCUAAAAAUCUAAAUGUGUUUUCAUCAGUCGAGCAAAAGAUCUUCUUUACUUGGACAUUUGGGCUUCUGCUUGUGGAUUUCUUAAAGUAGGCUCUACUGCUGGCACCAUGCCUUAUCAUGAUGAGGAGUACCCCGGUCAGCCUCUGUGGCAGUCUGUGCUGCUUUUCUGCUGCAAGGGCAUGAUCGAGGGCAUCAUGGUCAUUCUGUUCUUCUGGCUUCUGGUUCAGGUCCUGUUCACCAAACAGUUAGAAGUUCAUCUCCAGAUUCUUCUUCUGGUCGGGCUGAUCACCUUUUGUCUGUGUUUGGUCCUGGGAUGCCUUCUGUGCUUGUGGAAAAGUAAAAUUUGUCGAGUGAAAGAGAAAGCUCCUGCGACAUCAGCACCGGCUCCUGCUGAACCUGUGUCCUUUGCUCAGACCACACCUCCUCCCUCAGCAGCAGGAACAGCAUCAGCAUCCAAGCAGCAGUUUGAGGAGCUGGAUGAAGAAGUGCUGGAGUACCCUUCCACUUUCAGCAGCGCUGCUACUUCAGAGGGCGAAUUUAGCUGUCUGGCAUUUUCAAAUCAAACUUCCAGUGAACAAAAGGAGCCUCCAAAGUCUUAUUUUUCCCUGCGCCGCCUCAGCACGCCUCUGCUCUCAUCACCCCUUUAUAAACCAUUAGACCAGAGUCAUAGCUCGCUGCCUUCCUUUCCCAAACUGGGACUACUGGCCAAAACAUGUAAGGCCCUGCAGCGACGCUGCACUGUGACCGGGGAACACAUAUCUUAUAAUGAGCACACUAGACUCACCAGACCCAGUGCUGACUCUCCUUCUACAAAAGAAAAACCUAUCCCAUUGGCCCCACUAAGCUAUGGCUCCAGUGCAAGCUGCCAACAUCCAAUAUCACCAAAACCCUGCCUCCACUUCACUAUGGCCUUCUCUCCAGAGCAGCAAACCCUGACAGUCACUGUCCUCAACUUCAGUGGCACGCCUCACAGGCUGGAAGAUGUGUCUGUGCAGGGCAGCCUGCCGCCUCUCUGCCCCUUUCCUAUGCAAGCUGCUGUGCAGAGCAGCUCCAGCUCUGAAGCCCACAGCCUGGUGCUAAUUUUCAAGGUGAGCUCUGUGGAGGAGCUCCAAAGGUGUGUACUGAAGGUAGCUGUGAAUGCACGAGAACCAGCGAGCCCCAGACGCAGUUCUCUGGGUGAACUGGAAGCCAAGUGUGCAGGAAGAGACUGGACACCACAGACGCCACUUCACUUAACAAAAGAACUCAAUCGAAGCAAGUAGAAAAUAAAAAGACUACCAGGUGGUGAUCAAUCUGCACCACGAGGGAGUUUUGAUGAGCAGCAGAGAGACUAAAGCAGGGUCCUGUACUGUGUGGAACACUUCUUUCCUGUUUGACCUGCCUCCAGGAGACAUCAGUCACCUGCCCCUCAUGCUUGAAUUCAUAAUAACCCAGAAUGCAGUCCUUUCAGAAGCCAGAGUUGUUGGCCGAGUCUUCGUUGGAGCAGAGGCUGCAGAUGCAGGACGUGCUCAUUGGAGAGACAUGUGCAGCCGGCAUGUGGAGCAGGCACGAUGGCGCACUAGUCAACCCGAAACUGCAAUAGAAUAAGGCUGUUUGACGAGCAAUGGAGCGGAUUUACUGUUGAGCUCUUUGGGCAACAAAAAUGGAAGUGCGUAUGGAUAGAGUCAACCUGUGAUCUCGUUCACCACAGGGUUCACUGCUGUCUACAUUCAAGAUGAUACACACCCUCCGAAUCUGGCAGCUUACUUGGACCUCAAAGAUUUCCAUCCAUGGCAUACCAGUGGAGCACACUGCUGCUGUUUCAGGUCCUACACCACCCGACUGUCAAAUGGAGACUUUAGGAGGUGUUAUUAACUCAUCAGUUCUGACAGAUGUUUGAAAGGAAUGAUGAGCUUGGGGCCAAACUCUGUGUCCUGGAGUUGUCUGACUGAAUUGUUGUUUAGGUAUAUGAAAUGCCUGUGUUCAGUAAAACUCUGAGAAAU
RNA transcript from Oreochromis niloticus (Nile tilapia), 2212 nucleotides. It is a transcript of the gene named synaptotagmin XVIIIb, with no coding region annotated. The transcript has 4 exons. The record is from RefSeq and is a predicted model, not a curated record. Lineage: Eukaryota; Metazoa; Chordata; Actinopteri; Cichliformes; Cichlidae.